Molecule: ribosomal RNA, 497 nt
Filed under: uncultured bacterium
Lineage: Bacteria
Description: partial 16S ribosomal RNA
Rfam family: Bacterial small subunit ribosomal RNA
Source: RNAcentral
GAUGAACGCUGGCGGCGUGCCUAAUACAUGCAAGUCGAGCGAACGGACGAGAAGCUUGCUUUUCUGAUUUUAUCGCCGGACGGGUGAGGACCACGUGGACAACCUACCUAUGAGACUGGUAUGACAUCGGGAAACCAUAGCUACUACCGGAUAAUUUUUUGCACCUCGUGGUUCCAGAGUGCAAGAAGGUCUUGCUGUCACUUAUAGAUGGCCCCGGGCUGCAUUAGCUAGUUGGUGAGGUGACGGCUUACCCAGGCAACGAGGCAUAGCCGACCUGAACGCGUGGUCGGACACACUGGAACAGAGAAAGGGUCGAGACUCUGAGAGGAGGCAGCAGCAGGGAAUCCUCCGGAAUGGACGAGAGCGUGACGGAGGAACGCCGCGGGAAUGAUGAAGGUCCUCUGACCGGAAAACUCUGUUAUUAGGGAGGAUGAUAAGUGUUAUUAACUGUGCUCAUCUUGACGGUACCUGAUCAGAAAGCCACGGCUAACUACGUG